ACGCUCGACACCUACGGGAGUCAGCAGUGGGGAAUAUUGCACAAUGGGGGAAACCCUGAUGCAGCGACGCCGCGUGAAGGAAGAAGUAUUUCGGUAUGUAAACUUCUAUCAGCAGGGAAGAAGAAAGUGACGGUACCUGACUAAGAAGCCCCGGCUAACUACGUGCCACAGCCGCGGUAAUCUGAGCGGGCUGGCAAGGC
RNAcentral lists this ribosomal RNA (200 nucleotides) under uncultured bacterium. Its description in RNAcentral is "partial 16S ribosomal RNA". It matches the Rfam family "Bacterial small subunit ribosomal RNA", at positions 328 to 539 of the family's 1533-position model. The record is from RNAcentral.